Molecule: small nuclear RNA, 106 nt
Organism: Achroia grisella
Lineage: Eukaryota; Metazoa; Arthropoda; Insecta; Lepidoptera; Pyralidae
Source: RefSeq, a predicted model, not a curated record
GUACUUGCUUCGGCAAUACAUAUACUAAAAUUGAAACGAUACAGAGAAGAUCAGCAUGGCCCCUGCGCCAAGGAUGACACGGAAUCGUGAAACGUUCCACAUUUUU